CAGCACCUCAAGUGGUCAGGAUGAUUAUUGGUCCUAAAGCAUCCGUAUCCUGCUUUGUAAGUUUUCGGUUAAAUCCAUACGCUCAACGUAUGGGCUGCCGGGAAUACUGCACAGCUAGGGAGUGGGAGAGGUAGACGGUACUCGGUAGGAAGGGGUAAAAUCCUUUGAUCUAUUGAUGACCACCUGUGGCGAAGGCGGUCUACCAGAACAAGUCCGACGGUGAGGGAUGAAAGCUGGGGGAGCAAACCGGAUUAGAGACCCGAGUAGUCC
RNAcentral lists this ribosomal RNA (270 nucleotides) under uncultured archaeon. Its description in RNAcentral is "partial 16S ribosomal RNA". It matches the Rfam family "Archaeal small subunit ribosomal RNA", at positions 477 to 747 of the family's 1478-position model. The record is from RNAcentral.